GAAAUGCGAUAAGUAAUGUGAAUUGCAGAAUUCAGUGAAUCAUCGAAUCUUUGAACGCACAUUGCGCCCGCCAGUAUUCUGGCGGGCAUGCCUGUUCGAGCGUCAUUACAACCCUCAGGCCCCCGGGCCUGGCGUUGGGGAUCGGCGGAAGCCCCCUGCGGGCACAACGCCGUCCCCCAAAUACAGUGGCGGUCCCGCCGCAGCUUCCAUUGCGUAGUAGCUAACACCUCGCAACUGGAGAGCGGCGCGGCCACGCCGUAAAACACCCAACUUCUGAACGUUGACCUCGAAUCAGGUAGGAAUACCCGCUGAACUUAAGC
RNAcentral lists this unclassified non-coding RNA (320 nucleotides) under plant metagenome. Its description in RNAcentral is "partial contains 5.8S ribosomal RNA, internal transcribed spacer 2, and large subunit ribosomal RNA". The stretch from base 1 to 105 matches the Rfam family "5.8S ribosomal RNA", at positions 50 to 154 of the family's 154-position model. The record is from RNAcentral.